This 119-nucleotide ribosomal RNA is filed under the name Triticum aestivum (bread wheat). The record is from RNAcentral. Lineage: Eukaryota; Viridiplantae; Streptophyta; Magnoliopsida; Poales; Poaceae.
GGAUGCGAUCAUACCAGCACUAAAGCACCGGAUCCCAUCAAAACUCCGAAGUUAAGCGUGCUUUGGCGAGAGUAGUACUAGGAUGGGUGACCUCCUGGGAAGUCCUCGUGUUGCAUUCC